AGUGUGAUCCUUCUCUUUGACAGUCACAUCUUGUGUGCCAUUCAGUAGGCAGUCCCACCCAAAUUGCUUAUCGUUCCCAGGAAAAUCAUUGAAUGUUCAAGGCGCUUAUCAUCUUUAUAAUGGAAUACCCAUCAUUCAAGUUAACUGGACAGCACCCAAUACAGGUUUUGGUGAUUUAUGGGGCUAUCAGGUGUAUAUUUCUGGGAAAGAAGGACACCUUGGUCACUACGACUGUGUACAGAUAAACAGAAAGAAGGAAAUAUUGUCCUGGAUCUUUCACAAAACAAUCAGAUAUGGAGCAACAUACCAGAUCACAGUACAGAGUAUACCAUCGCGUUACGAGAAUGACAACAAUUUAGUAAACCAGAGUGUGCAAGUACCAGAGAAGUGUCAAUUUAAAGUGUACAAGAAUUCGUCAGAGUGCUAGACCUUGAACGACUAUUUUGUCAAUGUUGCUGGUUCUAAGGAUUCCACUUUCGAGGACUCCGACGAUCAUCCAAAGCUUAUGGGUUUGACACAGAUGCCAUUAAUCUUAUCAAGUCUUAUUUGCUUGGUCGUCGUCAAAGAGUUCGACUCGACAACAUUUUUUCUGAGUGGAAACCAAUCACAGCUGAUGUACCUCAAGGAUCUUUACCUGGACCCCUCCUAUUCAAUAUUUUUAUCAAUGACUUGAACGAUUUCAUCUCCACUGUGUCUCUCCGCUUAUAUGCUGAUGAUACAACUGGAUACAUUUAAAUUAAACCAUUAACAAGGAACUUAACGCUAUUAUAGAAUGAGUUGCAGUAAACCAUCUAUCAAUAAAUACUGUGAAAACUCAAGCUCUUGUCAUCGGCACAAACACAUAUAAGUACGAACUUUGGUUAGGCGAUACUCCUGUGGAAAUAAAAGACUCUCUAAAGAUACUAGGAGUCAUCAUUGACUCGAACCUGACCUUUGAGGAGCAUUUAAAAACCCAGCUAAAUAAGGCAUAUGCUAAGACAAACGCUUUACGUAGAAAUAGACGUUUUAUUCCAAUACAUGUAAUGAUUCAAUUAUAAAAAGGCUUUUAUUCUUCCUC
RNAcentral lists this unclassified non-coding RNA (1057 nucleotides) under Pocillopora damicornis (cauliflower coral). Its description in RNAcentral is "uncharacterized LOC113665376, transcript variant X2". The record is from RNAcentral. Lineage: Eukaryota; Metazoa; Cnidaria; Anthozoa; Scleractinia; Pocilloporidae.